CCUACGGGAGGCAGCAGUGAGGAAUAUUGGACAAUGGGCGCAAGCCUGAUCCAGCCAUGCCGCGUGCAGGAUGAAGCAUCUAUGGUGUGUAAACUGCUUUUGUACAGGAAGAAACCUCCCGACGUGUCGGGAAUUGACGGUACUGUAAGAAUAAGGAUCGGCUAACUCCGUGCCAGCAGCCGCGGUAAUACGGAGGAUCCAAGCGUUAUCCGGAAUCAUUGGGUUUAAAGGGUCCGUAGGCGGACCAGUAAGUCAGUGGUGAAAUCUCUCCGCUCAACGGGGAAAUGGCCAUUGAUACUGCUGGUCUUGAAUUAUUAGGAAGUAACUAGAAUAUGUAGUGUAGCGGUGAAAUGCUUAGAGAUUACAUGGAAUACCAAUUGCGAAGGCAGGUUACUACUAAUGGAUUGACGCUGAUGGACGAAAGCGUGGGUAGCGAACAGGAUUAGAUACCCUGGUAGUCCACGCCGUAAACGAUGGAUACUAGCUGUUGGGGGCAACUUCAGUGGCUAAGCGAAAGUGAUAAGUAUCCACCUGGGGAAGUACGUUCGCAAGAAUUGAAACUUAAAUUGAAUUGAGG
Molecule: ribosomal RNA, 577 nt
Filed under: uncultured bacterium
Lineage: Bacteria
Description: bacterial SSU rRNA
Rfam family: Bacterial small subunit ribosomal RNA
Source: RNAcentral